This 472-nucleotide ribosomal RNA is filed under the name uncultured bacterium. Its description in RNAcentral is "partial 16S ribosomal RNA". It matches the Rfam family "Bacterial small subunit ribosomal RNA", at positions 28 to 507 of the family's 1533-position model. The record is from RNAcentral.
GAUGAACGCUGGCGGCGUGCCUAAUACAUGCAAGUCGAGCGAACAGACGAGGAGCUUGCUCCUCUGACGUUAGCGGCGGACGGGUGAGUAACACGUGGAUAACCUACCUAUAAGACUGGGAUAACUUCGGGAAACCGGAGCUAAUACCGGAUAAUAUAUUGAACCGCAUGGUUCAAUAGUGAAAGACGGUUUUGCUGUCACUUAUAGAUGGAUCCGCGCCGCAUUAGCUAGUUGGUAAGGUAACGGCGUACCAAGGCGACGAUGCGUAGCCGACCUGAGAGGAGGACCAGAGACACUGGGAGGGAGCAGCGGCCCAGACUCUUCCGGGAUGCAGGAGUGGGGAAUCUGGCGAAAUGGGGGAAAGUAUGAAGCAGCCAUGCCGCGAGAAUGAUGAAGGUCUGAGGAUGGUAAAAUGCUUGAACCGGUGAAGAUAUUGCCGGUACCCGGAGAAGAAGCCACGGCUAACUUCGUG